This 253-nucleotide ribosomal RNA is filed under the name uncultured bacterium. RNAcentral's name for it is "partial 16S ribosomal RNA". It matches the Rfam family "Bacterial small subunit ribosomal RNA", at positions 524 to 776 of the family's 1533-position model. The record is from RNAcentral.
UACAGAGGUCCCGAGCGUUGUUCGGAUUCACUGGGCGUAAAGGGUGCGUAGGUGGCUUGAAAAGUUUGAUGUGAAAGCUCAGGGCUUAACCCUGAAAUGGCAUUGAAUACUGUCGAGCUGGAGGUUUGGAGGGGGGACUGGAAUUCUUGGUGUAGCAGUGAAAUGCGUAGAUAUCAAGAGGAACACCAACGGCGAAGGCAGCUUGCUGGGACGGUACUGACGCUAAGGCGCGAAAGCGUGGGGAGCAAACAGG